GUGAACGCUGGCGGCAGGCCUAACACAUGCAAGUCGAACGGCAGCACAAGAGAGCUUGCUCUCUGGGUGGCGAGUGGCGGACGGGUGAGGAAUGCAUCGGAAUCUGCCCAUUUGUGGGGGAUAACCUCGGGAAACCGGGACUAAUACCGCAUACGACCUACGGGUGAAAGCAGGGGAUCUUCGGACCUUGCGCAGAUGGAUGAGCCGAUGCCGGAUUAGCUAGUUGGAGGGGUAAAGGCCCACCAAGGCGACGAUCCGUAGCUGGUCUGAGAGGAUGAUCAGCCACACUGGGACUGAGACACGGCCCAGACUCCUACGGGAGGCAGCAGUGGGGAAUAUUGGACAAUGGGCGCAAGCCUGAUCCAGCCAUGCCGCGUGUGUGAAGAAGGCCUUCGGGUUGUAAAGCACUCUUGUUGGGAAAGAAAAGCAGCCGGUUAAUACCCGGUUGUCAUGACGGUACCCAAAGAAUAAGCACCGGCUAACUUCGUG
Molecule: ribosomal RNA, 489 nt
Filed under: uncultured bacterium
Lineage: Bacteria
Description: partial 16S ribosomal RNA
Rfam family: Bacterial small subunit ribosomal RNA
Source: RNAcentral